GUAAAUUACCCAAUCCUAAAACAGGGAGGUAGUGACGAUAAAUAACAAUGAUUCAAUGAUAACAAAGUUGAAUUAAUUGGAAUGAGAACAAUAUAAAUCCCUUAUCGAGUAACAAUUUCAGGGCAAGUUCUGGUGCCAGCAGCCGCGGUAAUUCCAGCUGAAAAAGCGUAUACGAAUAUUGUUGCAGUUAAAACGCUCGUAGUUGGAAUAAAACAUAAAAUAAAGGAAAAAUAACAUUGUUAUUUUGAUUUUAUUUAUUUUUAAUUUAUAUAUCUCCUAAAAAAAGAUAUAUAGUAUUUACUUUGAAUAAAUUAGAGUGCUUUAAGCAGAUUAAAAAAUAUUUUAUAUUUUUUUUGACGUUUGAAUAAUUUAGCAUAGAAUAAAAUAAUAAAGAUUUGAAAGAUAAGAUUGGUAAUUAUGUAGCAAAUAAUGAUAAUAGGAAUAGUUGGGGUAUUUGUAUUGAAUAGUCAGAGGUGAAAUUCAAGGAUUUGUUCAAGACAAACAUCAG
This 508-nucleotide ribosomal RNA is filed under the name uncultured eukaryote. Its description in RNAcentral is "partial 18S ribosomal RNA". It matches the Rfam family "Eukaryotic small subunit ribosomal RNA", at positions 436 to 945 of the family's 1831-position model. The record is from RNAcentral.